AGGCCCAAGCGACUGUUUACCAAAAACAUAGGUUUCUGCUAAGUCGCAAGACGAUGUAUAGGAGCUGACGCCUGCCCGGUGCUGGAAGGUUAAGGGGAUCUGUUAGAGCAAUCGAAGCAGUGAACUUAAGCCCCAGUAAACGGCGGCCGUAACUAUAACGGUCCUAAGGUAGCGAAAUUCCUUGUCGGGUAAGUUCCGACCCGCACGAAAGGCGUAACGAUUUGGGCACUGUCUCAACAACAGACUCGGUGAAAUUGUAAUUCCGGUGAAGAUGCCGGAUACCUGCGACAGGACGGAAAGACCCCAUGGAGCUUUACUGUAGCUUGACAUUGGGUCUUGGUACUACAUGUACAGGAUAGGUGGGAGGCUUUGAAACCAGGACGCCAGUUUUGGCGGAGCCAUCCUUGGGAUACCACCCUUGUAGUACUGGGACUCUAACCAUAGGCCAUGAAUCUGGUCUUGGGACACUGUCAGGUGGGCAGUUUGACUGGGGCGGUCGCCUCCCAAAAGGUAACGGAGGCGCUCAAAGGUUCUCUCAGUACGGUCGGAAAUCGUACGUAGAGUGUAAAGGCAAAAGAGAGCUUGAUUGCAAGACAUACAGGUCGAGCAAGGAUGAAAAUCGGACUUAGUGAUCCGGUGGUUCUGCGUGGAAGGGCCAUCGCUCAACGGAUAAAAGCUACCCUGGGGAUAACAGGCUUAUCUCCCCCAAGAGUCCACAUCGACGGGGAGGUUUGGCACCUCGAUGUCGGCUCAUCACAUCCUGGGGCUGUAGUAGGUCCCAAGGGUUGGGCUGUUCGCCCAUUAAAGUGGUACGCGAGCUGGGUUCAGAACGUCGUGAGACAGUUCGGUCCCUAUCCGUCGCAGGCGUAGGAAAUUUGAGAAGACCUGUCCUUAGUACGAGAGGACCGGGAUGGACG
RNAcentral lists this ribosomal RNA (917 nucleotides) under Clostridioides difficile. Its description in RNAcentral is "partial 23S ribosomal RNA". It matches the Rfam family "Bacterial large subunit ribosomal RNA", at positions 1788 to 2703 of the family's 2925-position model. Lineage: Bacteria; Bacillati; Bacillota; Clostridia; Peptostreptococcales; Peptostreptococcaceae. The record is from RNAcentral.